This is a non-coding RNA of Triticum aestivum (bread wheat), 118 nucleotides long. The record is from Rfam. NCBI's taxonomy places the organism in Eukaryota, Viridiplantae, Streptophyta, Magnoliopsida, Poales, Poaceae.
CUGUUACUCCCUCCGUUCUGAAUUACUUGUCUUAGAUUUGUCUAGAUACGAAUAAGUCUAGAUACAUCUGUAUCUAGACAAAUCCAAGACAAGUAAUUUAGAACGGAGGGAGUACUUC